RNAcentral lists this ribosomal RNA (410 nucleotides) under uncultured bacterium. RNAcentral describes it as "bacterial SSU rRNA". It matches the Rfam family "Bacterial small subunit ribosomal RNA", at positions 772 to 1174 of the family's 1533-position model. The record is from RNAcentral.
ACGCAAUAGAUACCCAGGUAGUCCACGCAGUAAACGAUGAUUACUAGCUGUAUGCGAUACACAGUAAAGCGGCACAGCGAAAGCGUUAAGUAAUCCACCUGGGGAGUACGCCGGCAACGGUGAAACUCAAAGGAAUUGACGGGGGCCCGGCCACAAGCGGAGGAACAAUGUGGUUUAAUUACCGAUGAUACGCGAGGAACCGUUACCCGGGUUUCGGUAACGUAGGGAGACAGGGGUGGGAAGCAUCCUUUUCUAGCAAUGACUGCCUACGAGGUGCUGCAUGGUUGUCGUCAGCUCGUGCCGUGAGGUGUCGGCUUAAGUGCCAUAACGAGCGCAACCCUUAUUUCCAGUUACUAACAGGUGAAGCUGAGGGCUCUGGAGAGACUGCCAGCGUAAGCUGUGAGGAAGGU